Molecule: ribosomal RNA, 223 nt
Filed under: Meyerozyma guilliermondii
Lineage: Eukaryota; Fungi; Ascomycota; Pichiomycetes; Serinales; Debaryomycetaceae
Description: partial 26S ribosomal RNA
Rfam family: Eukaryotic large subunit ribosomal RNA
Source: RNAcentral
UGCCUUUAUUAAGCGGCGAGUGAAGCGGCAAAGCUGAAUUUGAGAUCUGGCACCUUCGGUGUCCGAGUUGUAAUUUGAAGAUUGUAACCUUGGGGUUGGUUCUUGUCUAUGUUUCUUGGAACAGGACGUCACAGAGGGUGAGAAUCCCGUGCGAUGAGAUGCCCAAUCCUAUGUAAGGUGCUUUCUAAGAGUCGAGUUGUUUGGGAAUGCAUUUCUUAGUGGG